UGGGGAAUAUUGGACAAUGGGCGAAAGCCUGAUCCAGCCAUGCCGCGUGAGUGAUGAAGGCCUUAGGGUUGUAAUGCUCCUUUUGGCGGGGACGAUAAUGACGGUACCCGCAGAAUAAGCCCCGGCUAACUUCGUGCCAGCAGCCGCGGUAAUACGAAGGGGGCUAGCGUUGUUCGGAAUUACUGGGCGUAAAGGGCUCGUAGGUGGCCAACUAAGUCACACGUGAAAUCCCUCGGCUUAACCGGGGAACUGCGUCUGAUACUGGAUGGCUUGAAUCCGGGAGAGGGAUGUGGAAUUCCAGGUGUAGCGGUGAAAUGCGUAGAUAUCUGGAGGAACACCGGUGGCGAAGGCGGCAUCCUGGACCGGUAUUGACGCUGAGUGAGCGAAAGCCAGGGGAGCAAACGGGAUUAGAUACCCAAGUAGUCCCUGAGCGGGCUGGCAAGGCGCAU
Molecule: ribosomal RNA, 449 nt
Filed under: uncultured bacterium
Lineage: Bacteria
Description: bacterial SSU rRNA
Rfam family: Bacterial small subunit ribosomal RNA
Source: RNAcentral